UAUCAUAGACUGUCAGACAUGAAACUAAUAUUAAUCUUCCUGUGUGACUGUCGGUAACAGUAUUGAAAUAGUCUCUCUAAAGAACCAAAUUGCGCCAAGUUUAUGCCACAUUGCUCUGAUAGCUCAACUUUAAUAAUUAUCUUUGACGUUGUCAUGUUGCUGUUCUGACACCUUUAAUUCUGUUUGAUUUGUCCUCAUGUGACUGUUCUCCUCUCCAUUCUCUCUCUCAUUUCUUCUCUUUCGUUUCCUCUUCCUCAAUCAUUAAAUUCCCUGCUGUUUCCAGGAGAUCUGCCCGUCAGCUCAGUUCAUCGUAGAUGGAGCUACGCGGCUGGAUGUCCGCCAGGGAAAACUCAAUGACUGCUGGUUGCUCUCUGCGAUCGCGUCUCUCUGCGUGCAUCGCUUUCUGCUCAACAAGGUCAUGCCUCCAGGACAGUGCUUCCAGGAAGGAUACAACGGCUGCUUUGUGUUCAGGCUGUGCUGAUGCUGUGAUCCUGCCUUUGGUUGUGCUCGU
Molecule: non-coding RNA, 511 nt
Organism: Plectropomus leopardus (leopard coralgrouper)
Lineage: Eukaryota; Metazoa; Chordata; Actinopteri; Perciformes; Serranidae
Source: RefSeq, a predicted model, not a curated record